Molecule: ribosomal RNA, 251 nt
Filed under: uncultured bacterium
Lineage: Bacteria
Description: partial 16S ribosomal RNA
Rfam family: Bacterial small subunit ribosomal RNA
Source: RNAcentral
UACGAGGGGGGCAAGCGUUGUUCGGAAUUAUUGGGCGUAAAGGGUGCGUAGGCGGUUUUGUAAGUCUUGUGUGAAAUCUUCAGGCUCAACUUGAAGACUGCACGAGAAACUGCAGGGCUUGAGUGUGGGAGAGGUGAGUGGAAUUCCUGGUGUAGCGGUGAAAUGCGUAGAUAUCAGGAGGACACCUGUGGCGAAAGCGGCUCACUGGACCACAACUGACGCUGAUGCACGAAGCUAGGGGAGCAAACGGG